UUCUGGUUGAUCCUGCCGGAGGCUACCGCUAUUGGAGUUCGAUUAAGCCAUGCGAGUCGAGAGUCUUAGGGACUCGGCGUACCGCUCAGUAACACGUGGGUAACCUGCCCUAUGCUGGGGAAUAACCUCGGGAAACUGAGAAUAAUACCCCAUAGUUCACCACGCCUGGAACGGUGGGUGGAUGAAAGCUCCGGCGGCAUAGGAUGGGCCUGCGACGUAUCAGGUUGUAGGGGGUGUAACGUACCCUCUAGCCAUCAACGCGUACGGGUGUUGGGAGACAUAGCCCGGAGAUGGAUUCUGAGACACGAAUCCAGACCCUACGGGGUGCAGCAGGCGCGAAAACUUGGCAAUGCGAGCAAUCGUGACCAGGGAACUCCAAGUGGCUGGGGUAAUACCCAGUUUUUUCUUGACUCUUCAAAGGUCUUGGAAUAAGGGGUGGGUAAGGACGGUGCCAGCCGCCGCGGUAAUACCGGCGCCUCAAGUGGUAGUCGCUUUUAUUGGGCCUAAAACGUCCGUAGCCGGUCUGGUGCAUUCGUGGGUAAAUCAACCCGCUCAACGGGUUGAAUUCUGCGAGCACGGCCAGACUUGGGACCGGGAGAGGUGUGGGGUACUCUCAGGGUAGGGGUAAAAUCCUGUCAUCCUGAGAGGACCA
RNAcentral lists this ribosomal RNA (652 nucleotides) under uncultured Candidatus Poseidoniales archaeon. Its description in RNAcentral is "bacterial SSU rRNA". It matches the Rfam family "Archaeal small subunit ribosomal RNA", at positions 1 to 659 of the family's 1478-position model. The record is from RNAcentral. Lineage: Archaea; Methanobacteriati; Thermoplasmatota; Candidatus Poseidoniia; Candidatus Poseidoniales.